UUUUUUUUUUUUCUCUGCUCAGGACGAACGCUGGCGGCGUGCUUAACACAUGCAAGUCGAACGAUGAUGCCCAGCUUGCUGGGCGGAUUAGUGGCGAACGGGUGAGUAAUACGUGAGUAACCUGCCCUUGACUCUGGGAUAAGCCUGGGAAACUGGGUCUAAUACUGGAUACUACCUCUUACCGCAUGGUGGGUGGUGGAAAGGGUUUUACUGGUUUUGGAUGGGCUCACGGCCUAUCAGCUUGUUGGUGGGGUAAUGGCUCACCAAGGCGACGACGGGUAGCCGGCCUGAGAGGGUGACCGGCCACACUGGGACUGAGACACGGCCCAGACUCCUACGGGAGGCAGCAGUGGGGAAUAUUGCACAAUGGGCGGAAGCCUGAUGCAGCGACGCCGCGUGAGGGAUGACGGCCUUCGGGUUGUAAACCUCUUUCAGUAGGGAAGAAGCGAGAGUGACGGUACCUGCAGAAGAAGCGCCGGCUAACUACGUGCCAGCAGCCGCGGUAAUACGUAGGGCGCAAGCGUUGUCCGGAAUUAUUGGGCGUAAAGAGCUCGUAGGCGGUUUGUCGCGUCUGCUGUGAAAGCCCGGGGCUCAACCCCGGGUCUGCAGUGGGUACGGGCAGACUAGAGUGCAGUAGGGGAGACUGGAAUUCCUGGUGUAGCGGUGAAAUGCGCAGAUAUCAGGAGGAACACCGAUGGCGAAGGCAGGUCUCUGGGCUGUUACUGACGCUGAGGAGCGAAAGCAUGGGGAGCGAACAGGAUUAGAUACCCUGGUAGUCCAUGCCGUAAACGUUGGGCACUAGGUGUGGGGGACAUUCCACGUUUUCCGCGCCGUAGCUAACGCAUUAAGUGCCCCGCCUGGGGAGUACGGCCGCAAGGCUAAAACUCAAAGGAAUUGACGGGGGCCCGCACAAGCGGCGGAGCAUGCGGAUUAAUUCGAUGCAACGCGAAGAACCUUACCAAGGCUUGACAUUCACCGGACCGCCCCAGAGAUGGGGUUUCCCUUCGGGGCUGGUGGACAGGUGGUGCAUGGUUGUCGUCAGCUCGUGUCGUGAGAUGUUGGGUUAAGUCCCGCAACGAGCGCAACCCUCGUUCUAUGUUGCCAGCACGUGAUGGUGGGGACUCAUAGGAGACUGCCGGGGUCAACUCGGAGGAAGGUGGGGAUGACGUCAAAUCAUCAUGCCCCUUAUGUCUUGGGCUUCACGCAUGCUACAAUGGCCGGUACAAAGGGUUGCGAUACUGUGAGGUGGAGCUAAUCCCAAAAAGCCGGUCUCAGUUCGGAUUGAGGUCUGCAACUCGACCUCAUGAAGUCGGAGUCGCUAGUAAUCGCAGAUCAGCAACGCUGCGGUGAAUACGUUCCCGGGCCUUGUACACACCGCCCGUCAAGUCACGAAAGUUGGUAACACCCGAAGCCGGUGGCCUAACCCCUUGUGGGAGGGAGCCGUCGAAGGUGGGACUGGCGAUUGGGACUA
RNAcentral lists this ribosomal RNA (1471 nucleotides) under Kocuria rosea. Its description in RNAcentral is "bacterial SSU rRNA". It matches the Rfam family "Bacterial small subunit ribosomal RNA". The record is from RNAcentral. Lineage: Bacteria; Bacillati; Actinomycetota; Actinomycetes; Micrococcales; Micrococcaceae.